Molecule: ribosomal RNA, 831 nt
Filed under: Blumenavia heroica
Lineage: Eukaryota; Fungi; Basidiomycota; Agaricomycetes; Phallales; Phallaceae
Description: partial large subunit ribosomal RNA
Rfam family: Eukaryotic large subunit ribosomal RNA
Source: RNAcentral
AUUCCCUAUUAACGGCGAGUGAAGCGGGAAUAGCUCUAUUUGUAAUCUGGCGGUCUACGGCCGUCCGAGUUGUAAUCUGGAGAAGCGUUUUCGGCGCCGGUCCGCGUAAAGUCCCCUGGAACGGGGCGUCGCGAGGGUGAGAAUCCCGUCUUUGACGCGGUCCGCCGGUGCCGUGCGAUGCGCUCUCGAAGAGUCGAGUUGUUUGGGAAUGCAGCUCAAAACGGGUGGUAAAUUCCAUCUAAAGCUAAAUACUGGCGAAAGACCGAUAGCGAACAAGUACCGUGAGGGAAAGAUGAAAAGCACUUUGGAAAGAGAGUCAAACAGUACGUGAAAUUGUUGAAAGGGAAACGCUUGAAGUCAGUCGCGUCUCUCGGGACUCAGCCGAGGAAACCCUUCUCGGUGCAUUUCCCGAGUCUGGACGGGCCAGCAUCGGUUUCGACCGUCGUAAAAAGGCUUGAGGAACGUGGCACCCUCGGGUGUGUUAUAGCCUCUCGUCGUAUGUGACGGACGGGACCGAGGAACGCAGCGCGCCCCUCGCGGGGCCGGGGUUCGCCCACGUAACGCGCUUAGGAUGCUGGCGUAAUGGCUUUAAGCGACCCGUCUUGAAACACGGACCAAGGAGUCUAACAUGCUCGCGAGUGUUCGGGUGGAAAACCCGUGCGCGUAAUGAAAGUGAAAGGUUGGGACCCCUCGUUUGGGGGCACCGACGCCCGGACUCGAGCUUCUGCGAAGGUUCCGAGGCAGAGCGCGUAUGUUGGGACCCGAAAGAUGGUGAACUAUGCCUGAGUAGGGCGAAGCCAGAGGAAACUCUGGUGGAGGCUCGUAGCGAUU